CCUACGGGCCGCACCAGUAGGGAAUCUUCGGCAAUGGACGAAAGUCUGACCGAGCAACGCCGCGUGAGUGAAGAAGGUUUUCGGAUCGUAAAACUCUGUUGUUAGAGAAGAACAAGUAGGAGAGUAACUGCUCUUACCUUGACGGUAUCUAACCAGAAAGCCACGGCUAACUACGUGCCAGCAGCCGCGGUAAUACGUAGGCGGCAAGCGUUGUCCGGAUUUAUUGGGCGUAAAGCGAGCGCGAGCGGUCUUUUAAGCCUGAUGUGAAAGCCCUCGGCUCAACCGAGGAAGGUCAUUGGAAACUGGAGGACUUGAGUGCAGAAGAGGAGAGUGGAAUUCCAUGUGUAGCGGUGAAAUGCGUAGAUAUAUGGAGGAACACCAGUGGCGAAGGCGACUCUCUGGUCUGUAACUGACGCUGAGGCUCGAAAGCGUGGGGAGCAAACAGGAUUAGAUACCCGAGUAGUC
This 465-nucleotide ribosomal RNA is filed under the name uncultured bacterium. RNAcentral describes it as "bacterial SSU rRNA". It matches the Rfam family "Bacterial small subunit ribosomal RNA", at positions 338 to 795 of the family's 1533-position model. The record is from RNAcentral.